UACAGAGGUCUCAAGCGUUGUUCGGAUUCAUUGGGCGUAAAGGGUGCGUAGGCGGCGCGGUAAGUCGGGUGUGAAAUUUCGAGGCUUAACUUCGAAACUGCAUUCGAUACUGCCGUGCUUGAGGACUGGAGAGGAGACUGGAAUUUACGGUGUAGCGGUGAAAUGCGUAGAUAUCGUAAGGAACACCAGCGGCGAAGGCGGCACUCUGGGCUGGAACUGACGCUGAGGAGCGAAAGCCAGGGGAGCAAACGGG
Molecule: ribosomal RNA, 253 nt
Filed under: uncultured bacterium
Lineage: Bacteria
Description: partial 16S ribosomal RNA
Rfam family: Bacterial small subunit ribosomal RNA
Source: RNAcentral